GCGACUCUGAACUUACCCCCCCUCUCUCUCUCUCUCUCCCUCUCUCCCUCUGCAACUGCAAACUACAAAAUCUACGAGAAUCAGAAGUUCAAAACCCAUAUAUUUCAGUUUAUCUAUCUGUCUGCAAGAAUCAAAAGUUCAAAGGCCAUUUCGGCAUAUCAUUUCAGAUUGUUCAAAAAAUCAAAACCCAUAUCUUUCAGUUUCCAUCGCCCGCUGUUCCAGUUCGGGUUCGCCGUUCGCAAGCUUCAGCCGCUGGCCCGCUGUCUCUCAACUCUCAAGCUUGCCCCCCUCUCCCACUGCAACUGCUAACUUGUAUGGUUAGCGUCGGGCCUUAACAUUUAGCAAGAACAAGGUUGAAGAAACAUUCCUCUUCAGUUAUCAGGUCUCUUUUCUGAAAGAAGAGAGUUGAUGGGAAUGGGUGGAGUAGGCAAAAAAAAAAGAGGAAAAAUACGGUGGUAAUGCAUGAACAUUUCGAUGACCAUUACAUCGAUUGGAAAAGGGUUGUGGAUAACCAGAUUACAUUCCUCGAUGCUCCCUUUCAACCAAACAAAUUCGGUGACAAGCACUCGAACAGUUUUUGGCGGGAAUCUAUAAAGAAUAUUUUGAGGACAGUUGUCUACCUCCAUGGUAAUUUCAAAAUACAUGGUGGGCUCUCAGAGCCUUCUUCUUAUGUACUAAAGGGAGGUAAGAUGCAUGUCAUCCGAAACAAAGUGAACCAAGUUAUGAGAAAGGCAACUUAAGAAGCUAAAGACACUGAUCUAGAUGAAUUGAAAGAGAUUUUAGAUGGUGAGAUUAAACAAAUAAAUUCUUCUGCUCCAAUUGACGACUGGCAAAGGUUUAUGGAAUUCUUUCAGUUUCGUAAGGCGAAUGCGGACAAUUUAAGCAAACAUCCUGCUUUGAUGGAUGUUUGAGUACUAUAAUGCAAUAUGCCGAUAUCUAGAUUAUUGCAGUUGAACGCACAGAACUCACACAUUAAUUUGGCUAUUGAUUUGUUGCCCCAUCCAUGCAAUAACAAAGAUUGGGACACGGUGAUUACCGAAAACCAUUGGGAAGAAACAACAAAAAGAAAAGGACGAACUUGCAUUGCGUUUCAAAUUAUAGAGAGUGCAAUACUUGCGGCCUUACAUGCCACCGUUGGGAUUCCAUUAGGGACAAAUUGGAGGCCUGCCAAUAGAGGCCCAACAAAGAGUCAAACGGGGAUAACGACUACAGGGAGUCCAACACUUGAGGACUUACAUGCGACCGUUGGGAUUCCAUCAGGGACAAAUUGGAUGCCUGCCAGUAGAGGUAAAGGCCAAAUAGAGAAUCGAACAUGGACAACAGCCACAGGGAGUCCAAUACUUGCAGCCUUACAUAGGACCGUUGGGAUUCCAUCAGGGACAAAUUGGACGCCAGCCUUCCGUGGGUGUCCAACAGGGACGCUAACUUUAUCCGCAACAGCUGUUACAACCACAGGAGCAGCCACGGGAGGAACAACAGCUGUAACAGCCACAAGAGGGACAACAGCAGCAGCCACAAUAGGGAGUCCAAGCCUAUAAGGGGAAUGUGUUAUCGGACUUACUUAGGUUCAUUCGAAACAUGGUAGGUCACGCUGGGUUUCAUGCAUCAAAACUGUUUUCCCCGAACAAGAAGCUGAAUAAGGACUGCCGGAGAGAAUAUGUGUCCAGAGAAUUGGGGAAGUUUUAUCCAGGUUUUAUAUCUUCGUUACAUGUGGCGGUCACUAAAAAGUUUAGGAAAAAUCUUCUUUGAUAGCUCUAUGUUUUCUUAGUGUGAAAUUGGCUGUGUUUUCUUCAAGGGCUUGUUGUGGAGAAUAUAGAUCAACUAGUUCAAUGAUUACUUCUGUGUUAGUUUUGCUUUUGUAUGGGACUUCCUGUAAGCUCUUCAUCCUGUUGAUAGGUGUAGCUUCUUGUGUAUCGAGGCAUAUGUUUAUAUUAUUGCCCCUUCCGUUCUAUAGCUUUUUAUGUUGGUUCUUUUUAUUUUAGUUUUGCUUUUGUAGGGGACUUACCUUUUUGGUCUGUAAGCUGUGCAUCUUGUGUGUAUCGAGGCAAGUGUUGUAUAUUAUAACUUGAUCAGUGAUGUUCAAUUGUGUCCAGAGAAUUUGGGAAGUUUCAUCCAGGUUUUUAUUUUUUAUUUUUUUUACAAGUGGUGGUCACUUAAAAGUUUAUGAAAAGUCUUCUUUGAUAGC
Cornus florida is the source of this 2185-nucleotide long non-coding RNA. RefSeq lists it as uncharacterized. The record is from RefSeq and is a predicted model, not a curated record. The transcript has 7 exons. Lineage: Eukaryota; Viridiplantae; Streptophyta; Magnoliopsida; Cornales; Cornaceae.